This is a long non-coding RNA of Solanum pennellii, 612 nucleotides long. RefSeq lists it as uncharacterized. The record is from RefSeq and is a predicted model, not a curated record. Lineage: Eukaryota; Viridiplantae; Streptophyta; Magnoliopsida; Solanales; Solanaceae. The transcript is spliced from 3 exons.
CUCAAAUUUAACUCUAACCUCUUCCAGAUCCAUCUAUCGUCGUCUUCUUUUUAGCUGUGUUCUUUUUACCUUCUUCUACGGAACAAAGAGGAAAGAGAGAGUUGUCAAAGAAAUUUCUCCCAAUACUCAGAAAUUUAAACCUCAACCUCUUUCAGAUCCAUCUAUCGUCAUAUCUUUUUAGGAAUGUCAACAGGCAAUAACGAUGCGUUCCAAAAGCCUGAAAAUAUCAAGCAACAACAACGUAUACACAGAAAUAUGCUACAUUGUACUAGAUAUUCACAAAUGUCGCUUGAAAGAAAACAAUUAUUUCUAUCACAAUAACAAGCUAAAAGAGCUGAAUCAAAAAGGCAGUGCCUCUUGCAACAUUCACACAACACGAUAUCUCAUCACAAGUCGUCAAUGAAGAAGGAAACGAAAAUAUGCUUACAAUUUCUCACCCUUCACUAGCUACAGACAGAGGACAUGCUUCUGCGAGUAUCGACACUUCUGGUUGUUUCUCUACAUUUGAAAUAGGUAAGUCAGAGCAAAUUGAAUAACUACAACUAAUAACAUAAGUUCGAUGUUUAUAAAUAUAGCACUUUGCAAUAUUAGGAUCAACAUCACACAUAUAUA